RNAcentral lists this small nucleolar RNA (106 nucleotides) under Spinacia oleracea (spinach). RNAcentral's name for it is "Plant small nucleolar RNA R71". It matches the Rfam family "Plant small nucleolar RNA R71". From Rfam's summary of the family: R71 is a member of the C/D box family of snoRNAs containing the C (UGAUGA) and D (CUGA) box motifs. The record is from Rfam by way of RNAcentral. Lineage: Eukaryota; Viridiplantae; Streptophyta; Magnoliopsida; Caryophyllales; Amaranthaceae.
AAACCAUGGUGUGGGCAGUCUCUUUGCAAGUCCUUGAAUCUUUCCCAAACCUCGAACAAACUCCAUCUGCUUGUUGAGAGAUACCUAAUAUCUGUCCCCUUAGACG